Molecule: signal recognition particle RNA, 294 nt
Filed under: Castor canadensis (American beaver)
Lineage: Eukaryota; Metazoa; Chordata; Mammalia; Rodentia; Castoridae
Description: Metazoan signal recognition particle RNA (ENSCCNG00000024062.1)
Rfam family: Metazoan signal recognition particle RNA
About the family: The signal recognition particle (SRP) is a universally conserved ribonucleoprotein. It is involved in the co-translational targeting of proteins to membranes.
Source: RNAcentral
GCCAUAUGGCCCGUGCCUGUAGUCCUCACUACUCAAGAGGCCGAGGCAGGAGGAUUGGUUGAGUUCAGGAGUCCUGGGCUGCAGUGCAUGCUGAUCAGGUGUCCACACUAGGUUCAGCAUCAAUUAUAUAGUGACUUCCCUGGGACAAGGGACCACCAGGUUGCCUAAGGAGGGGUGAACCAGCCCAGGUCAGAAAUGGAGCAGGUCAAAACUCCUGUGCUGAUCAGUAGUGGCAUGGUGUCUGUGAACAGCCACUGUGUUUCAGCCUGGGCAACACGAUGAGACCCUGACUCU